Molecule: transfer RNA, 76 nt
Filed under: Synergistaceae bacterium
Lineage: Bacteria; Thermotogati; Synergistota; Synergistia; Synergistales; Synergistaceae
Description: tRNA-Phe
Rfam family: tRNA
About the family: Transfer RNA (tRNA) molecules are approximately 80 nucleotides in length. Their secondary structure includes four short double-helical elements and three loops (D, anti-codon, and T loops).
Source: RNAcentral
GGCCGGAUAGCUCAGUUGGUAGAGCAACGGACUGAAAAUCCGUGUGUCCCCAGUUCAAUUCUGGGUCCUGCCACCA